AACGUAGGAGACAAGCGUUAUCCGGAUUCAUUGGGCGUAAAGGGCAUGCAGGUGGUGCCUUAAGUUGGAUGUGAAAUCUCCCGGCUUAACUGGGAGGGGUCAUCCAAAACUGGGGCUCUUGAGGGCAGGAGAGGGAAAUGGAAUUCCCGGUGUAGCGGUGGAAUGCGUAGAUAUCGGGAGGAACACCAGUGGCGAAAGCGGUUUCCUGGCCUGCAUCUGACACUGAUAUGCGAAAGCUAGGGGAGCAAACGGGAUUAGAUACCCUCGGUAGUCC
Molecule: ribosomal RNA, 274 nt
Filed under: uncultured bacterium
Lineage: Bacteria
Description: partial 16S ribosomal RNA
Rfam family: Bacterial small subunit ribosomal RNA
Source: RNAcentral